RNAcentral lists this ribosomal RNA (221 nucleotides) under uncultured bacterium. Its description in RNAcentral is "partial 16S ribosomal RNA". It matches the Rfam family "Bacterial small subunit ribosomal RNA", at positions 32 to 263 of the family's 1533-position model. The record is from RNAcentral.
AAUCAACGCUGGCGGCGUGCCUAACACAUGCAAGUCGCACGAGAAAGGGACUUCGGUCCUGAGUACAGUGGCGCACGGGUGAGUAACACGUGAAUAAUCUACCUCCGAGUGGGGAAUAACUGAGAGAAAUCUUAGCUAAUACCGCAUAACACUUACGAGUCAAAGCAGCAAUGCGCUUGGAGAGGAGUUCGCGGCAGAUUAGUUAGUUGGCAGGGUAAUGG